This is a non-coding RNA of Pteropus vampyrus (large flying fox), 122 nucleotides long. The record is from Rfam. Lineage: Eukaryota; Metazoa; Chordata; Mammalia; Chiroptera; Pteropodidae.
CCAGCAGUCCCCUUUUUUUCCAGACAAAGGGUUGUGAACCCUCCUGGGGAUGAGGCCUGGUCUUGUGGAAACUCAACUUAGCUUCGCGGGGCUGACGGCUCUGGCCCAGGGUGGUAUGUAAU